RNAcentral lists this non-coding RNA (229 nucleotides) under Enterococcus pallens. RNAcentral describes it as "T-box sequence". It matches the Rfam family "T-box leader". Rfam says of the family: Uncharged tRNA acts as the effector for transcription antitermination of genes in the T-box leader family. Lineage: Bacteria; Bacillati; Bacillota; Bacilli; Lactobacillales; Enterococcaceae. The record is from RNAcentral.
AUCCUUCCCUUGAAGAGAAGAGUAGUCUUGGAAAACGUUGCAGAGAGGUUCUAAAUGGUGAAAAGAACCACGGAAACAAGAUGAAGAUGGUCUCUGAGGAAAAGUCGCCGAUAGGUAGGCGUCUUCGGUGUAGUCAAUCGAUAUUUUGACUGCCAAUUACUAUUUGUUGUUGGCGUAAGGAGAGCUUGGCUCUCGAAAAAAGGUGGUACCACGUGCAAUCGUCCUUUUA